CCUGCAGCAUAGCCAUUGCAAACUAGCACUGACAUGGAAAAUCAAUCACAGUACCAGCAGCUUCUUCUUCUUCCCCAAAACCCUAACCACAACACUCUCCUGCAAAGCCGGACCAUUCCCUUUUUCUCUUCGCUCUGCCCUACGCUUUCCAUCACCAUUACAACCAGAUGUAGCCCCAGAUAUCAGUUCCACAAAACACACUACCCUCCUUGUUGAGACCUUCCAUGAGCACCAGAGGCUCAAAGCCUUACUUCGGUAGCUCAUCAUGGUUCUUGCCCUCUGCAAUUGCUUGGAGAA
RNAcentral lists this long non-coding RNA (297 nucleotides) under Prunus dulcis (almond). Its description in RNAcentral is "sRNA ncRNA". The record is from RNAcentral. Lineage: Eukaryota; Viridiplantae; Streptophyta; Magnoliopsida; Rosales; Rosaceae.